RNAcentral lists this long non-coding RNA (3913 nucleotides) under Lactuca sativa (garden lettuce). RNAcentral describes it as "long non-coding RNA (LSAT_LNC010110)". Lineage: Eukaryota; Viridiplantae; Streptophyta; Magnoliopsida; Asterales; Asteraceae. The record is from RNAcentral.
AAGAUGGGAGAGUACUUUAGUAUCAUGUUUUAAGACCAUCUUAAUGAUUUUGAGACCUUAUCACAAUUCAUCAUCUAAGUGCAUUCUGAUAGUUAAGAAGAGGAGUUAUGAAUUGUUGAAAUGGUUAAAUCAAGAAGAUGAUUCAUACUUCGUUCCAAAAACAAUUCUUAGAGUAAUACUCUAAGAUUGUAACUUGAGUGACAUAUCCUAAAGAAGGUUUAUAACACUUGUCAAAUGUAAAAGUAAAAUGUGUUCUACUCCUGUACAUUUGAAAUUGGUAAGCUGUGAUGUUUUGGAUAAAACAAAGACCAACUAAGGCCAAUUUUGUGAAGUGUUUGUCUUGAUAAGAAUCUGCACUAUCUCUUGAAUAUUUGUGUGUCAAGGAAUUGGUCUUGGCAAGAGAGUUUUGUAUGUCAAGAGGAUAGUGGGUGUCUAAAAGAUCCUAAAAUAGUUUCAAGAUCUAAUCAAGAAUAAAACUUGUAGUUUAUCACUAGCACACAACUUGAGGUUUAUAACUCACCGUGUUGACAUAUUCCUAUUUCUGUGCCCAUUCCAGUUAAAGUUGGUUGUGUAUAUGAGUUCUGAGAGUCCUCAAUUGGUUGCAUAACAACUUGGAAGCAAUGGCAAGCCCUUGUGCUGCCAAGUGGCAAGAAGUUAAGAUUGCACAAGUUCAGUUCAUAUGCAUUUGGAUUUGUCACUAACCUGGUCUUGUGAUUAUGGUUUUGACAAAUUCACAUGGAUAAGAACACAUACACCAUAAAAUCUAAGUGUCAUAAGGUUUCUCUCCGAUUCAUGAAAAUGAUGGUGAGGAAACACUUUCACUAAGUAGAUUUUAGCUAGAUAGCAAUUGUGAUAUUUGCAUUCUCAAAGUCGUUAGUAGAGCUGUGUGGUUAACCGGCACACUAACAUGGACUUGUGAGAAGUGGAAAAGGUCUAAACUAUUGAGGCUUUGGUAAGAAAUUGUUUUUCAUAGUUCUGAAAUUGUUUAGACACUCCUGUGAGCUAUCUAAGAUAAGGUGUAUGAUAUUGAUCAGAAAUCUGAACUUUGGUAAGAAAGUCAAUAAAGUGUUGUUUUUUCUAGAUGUUCAGUUGAUUUAUGAGUACAUGUCAAACCCAGUGGGAGCAUAAGUGGUAUGCUCAUAAUCAUCAUGUUAGCGGGAGCAUGAUAAUUAUGAUAAAGGUUGCAAGUUAGCAAUGUUAAUUAUAGAAAAUAGAAGGUUUCAAUUGGGAAAAAGUUGUUUUGCUAUAAUUCAGGGAGAGGAAAUUAUACUUCAUCUCAAAUCUAAAAGCUUAGAUUGAGGUUUUAAUCAUAUUUAGUCAAGUAUAUAUAUCAAUGUUAUGUUGGAAUGGCUCAGCAUAAGGAAAUUCUAAUAUAUGGGUCCAUUAUUUGCGUUCUAAAAUUCAAUUAUGAUUACUGCAUCCGUUUCAUAAUAUAAAUUAUGAGAACUUGGCAAAUUGAAAUGGAAAUAUUAUAGAAAAAGACUCGUUUAGUCUUUAUGUGAGACAUCAUGAAUCGUGUCCCAUAUGCUUCGGAUAUAGGAUCGAUUGCAUGUGCUAUAUUCAUCCAUUCUAAAAUUUUCCAAAUGCCUGGGGCAUUAAGAAGGGAAAAGGUCUAGAAUUGGAUAUGACUAAAAGGAUUAAACAAUUGUCGAGGAAAAUCUAAGGUUACCAAAGAUUGGUUGCUCAAGGACAGUUGGAAGUAUAGUAAUAAUUCUGGAAGGACCAUAUUGACAUAAUCUGUAAGGAGGCAACUGGUGUUCAAAAGUGAUAGUGAAAAUGGAAUAUGGAAAUGUUUCAAAGUUACAAAUUAUUCAAUCUAUGUAAGAUUAGGAAACUUAAUGCAAGAAGGAUUUUCCAAGGAGUUGAUCUACUUUGGAAUGCUCUGUAAUGAUUGUUGUCAAGUCUUUAUGACUUUGUGCAUAAUCAUUACAAGAGGAUCAAUGCAUAUAAGUUUAGAAUCAAACAGAUUUCAGUAAAUGGCAUGAAUUUGGAAUUCUUGCAUUUGUAGUAAGGAUUUGGGACUAUGAGGAUCAUUGGAGUAAUGUUCAAUUGAUCUAUUUCACAAAGUAAUGAUCAUAGACAACCAUAGUAUGCAUACUUGGUGUAUGGCAUGACUAGUGUUUAGAAAACAUAGUGUACAUGCUUGGAGCAUGGGACAACUAUUGUUUUAAAUUCAAGAAUAAAAUUGAUAGCUGAAACAGUAUACAAUGCAUAAUGUGUAAUCAUAUGGUGAUAAAUAAAAGGUGUUUUAUUUAUGUUCAUAGGUUUUGAUACUUUAUUCGAUUCAAUUAUUCUUGUGUUUCAUUUUGCAUGUUUUGACUUCAAGAAUAAACUAGGUCAUUGUUCUGGAUGACUAAGUUAUUCAAACCAUCCACAGUCGGUCAUAUGUUGGAAGUAAAUAUGAAUUAAGACUGUCAUGGGUUGGCUUGUAGAGGUCUAAGAUGUUGGACAAAGGGCUACAACACUCAUGAGUGCUCAUAAGUUAGGAGUAUUGGAUUCAACCCGCGCUCAUUGGAAUCACUUCAAGGAUUUUAUCACGAGUGAUCAUGAGACGAUAAUAUCUUAUAUUCUUCAAACCUAGAAAUGUGAGUUGUUACUAUGAAUUGGUUAUACACUGAUUGCACGAAAAUGCAUUGGUAACUCGAUGUUAUAAAACGUGCCUUUGUGUCUGAUUCAACAAGUAGUAGAACAAGCCAUAUGAGUCGAAGUUUAUCCAUUCCUUUUACUGUCGGGAUAAAAGCGAUAUCUGUGGGCCCCUCGAUGAUUUGGUGAUGACAAACGUAAGUGCUCGGCCGGGUCUGGACUAAUUUUAUUUGUUCAAUUAGUCAGUCGUCAUAGAUCGGAAAUCAGGAAACAACAAAUGGACAUAGAGAAUGAUUAUAAUCUGUGUCUCAGUCCAAAUGAUAUCUAGAAUGGAGGAAUAUAUGAUCCCUUAUCUAAUGGACAUGUCAUUUGAUUUGUUCAGAGUUUGACAGCGACUUUAAGAGCUACGAUUGCUAGUCGGGAUCUUGGAUUCAUACUUGAAUAAUAAUAAGGAUAGACUUAUCCAAGUGGGAGACUAUUGGAUUAGGUGUCUAAGCCCAUAACUAUUAUUGGUAUGUAUUCGACCCGAGAGUAGCAUGGUCCAUUAGGGUUGCAUAUCAUCAGGACAAUUUGUUAGGAUGGACUUUUGAGAGAAGGUUAUAUAUGGUUUAUUAAUAUAUUAUAUGUAAUAAUAUAUUAAUAUGAAAUCAUAUGUUUUAAUUAGUAUUGAUCAAGAAUUAAUUUGGAAUUAAUUUAGUGGUCGAAAGAGACUUAUUAAAUCUAUGGGGACUAAUUAUGAUAAUUAGUUUUAUUUAUAUGUGUUGGGCUUAUGAUCCAUGUUGGACCAAGUUUAUGUAUAGAUACAUAAACUGUUGGGCCAGAUGAACCAUGGAUCAUAAAACCCAUGGGUAUGGAUUCGGGUUAUAUCCAUGACCCUAGAAAUCCCACGUAUAAAUAGAUACUUCAUUCCCCAAAAUCGCCACUUGUAUCAUUUUAGAGUUCAUGGUGUCUUUUGUGUGCAUGGAAUUCUCUUUCAAGUUCAUCCUUUGUCCAUGGUGUGUUGUGCAGAAAGAUAAAAAGUUUGUCAAAUCUGAAAAGAUGGGAGAGUACUUUAGUAUCAUGUUUUAAGACCAUCUUAAUGAUUUUGAGAUCUUAUCACAAUUCAUCAUCUAAGUGCAUUCUGAUAGUUAAGAAGAGGAGUUAUGAAUUGUUGAAGUGGUUAAAUCAAGAAUAUGAUUGAUACUUCAUUCCAAAAACAAUUCUUAGAGUAAUACUCUAAGAUUGUAACUUGAGUGACAUAUCCAAAAGAAGGUUUAAAACACUUAUCAAAUGUAAGAGUAAAAGUUUUUUACUCUUUUACAUUUGAAAUUGGUAAGUUGUGAUGUUUUGG